Molecule: ribosomal RNA, 253 nt
Filed under: uncultured bacterium
Lineage: Bacteria
Description: partial 16S ribosomal RNA
Rfam family: Bacterial small subunit ribosomal RNA
Source: RNAcentral
UACGUAGGGCGCAAGCGUUAUCCGGAAUUAUUGGGCGUAAAGAGCUCGUAGGCGGUUUGUCGCGUCGGCCGUGAAAUCUCCACGCUUAACGUGGAGCGUGCGGUCGAUACGGGCAGACUUGAGUUCGGUAGGGGAGACUGGAAUUCCUGGUGUAGCGGUGAAAUGCGCAGAUAUCAGGAGGAACACCGGUGGCGAAGGCGGGUCUCUGGGCCGAUACUGACGCUGAGGAGCGAAAGCGUGGGGAGCGAACAGG